This 767-nucleotide long non-coding RNA is filed under the name Pan troglodytes (chimpanzee). RNAcentral describes it as "long non-coding RNA NONPTRT013792". Lineage: Eukaryota; Metazoa; Chordata; Mammalia; Primates; Hominidae. The record is from RNAcentral.
UAUGCCGAAUCUACAGUCUUCUUGAGGGAACUUUGGGAACAUGAGAAUUUGAAGUUGAUACUAUUAACCAACCUCAUGUCACAUAUAAGAAAAUACUCAGCUGGAAAAAAAAAAAAGAAAUCUGGGUUUGAAGAACACUUAUUUAUUUUUGAUUUUCUCUGGCUUGUGUGCUUCUUUUGACUGCUGCAUCUGAAUAUCAAGGCAAGAAGUGCUCAAGUUCCUCUGGGCUCUGGAAGGCUGGAACCAAUUGGUAUUCUUGGAGUCAGUCCUUUUUGGACUAAAGCUCCUUUUUCUUUUCCUCCCCCCAAUAAAAAUUUCUGUUCCAGGGAGUACUUUCUCAGUCACUCCUUUCCUAAUGUAAUUCUCUUUGAUUUCCACUGAACGGCUCCUGAAAGGAGACACUGAACCAUGCCUCCACAAGCAUUUCAAUUCCUCAACACCAGCUUUCAGGCAGGAGCAGUUCCAGAUGCAUUUUUAUAUCCAGUAAUCAUGCAUUUAACCAAAAUGAUUGAUGCAGCGUUUUUUCCCCUCUCUAUCAUUUCCAGUCCAUUAGUCUUAUUUGUUUUCCAUGGUUUGGGUUCCUGCCAAAUCAGUGAAUAUACAAAUACUUGGAUAAGUCAUGCACAUCUACACACACAUACGUGUAAUAGGUACUGGGUCUGUAUCUGAGUUGAAUAUUCAACAUUUUAUUUCCAGGCUUCAUGUCUCCACUGAAGUUUUAGCCGCUUCUUUCCUUCUUUCUUACCUCCCUCUCUCCAUUCUUUUUU